Salvelinus sp. IW2-2015 is the source of this 366-nucleotide long non-coding RNA. RefSeq lists it as uncharacterized. NCBI's taxonomy places the organism in Eukaryota, Metazoa, Chordata, Actinopteri, Salmoniformes, Salmonidae. The record is from RefSeq and is a predicted model, not a curated record.
UGGCCCGCUGAGGACAUAGACUAUGCCGUCUACCUGGCCAGGAGAAACAUCCGAAGAGGGGAUACUGGAGCCCUAUGAGCAGCAACACUACGACAGUCUCCACAAAUGGAUGAACCCCAAGUGGGAUUUCAUCGUGAUGCAGGCCACAGAACAGUACAAGGCUAAUAAAGAGAGGAAGAAGCCAGACAGAGUGGUGUUGGACUGUCAGGAGAGAGCCUACUGGAUAGUACACAGGCCACCAGUGAGUACAGACCCACCAACGUGUGUGUGUGUGUCCACAAGGACAGGAUAUUGUUGCUGUCAGCCUAUGAGCUCCAUAGCGUCUUGUCCUGCUGUCUCUCCAUUCACUGUGACUCUGUUUGGUGA